UAACUGUCAAUUCGAUUUAAAUUUAAGGUUCGAUAAGGAAGAGAUGCUGUGGAACAUAGCAUCCUUCAGGUGGAAAAUAAUUGUCUGUCAACUGGGACACAACGUGCAAGCAGACUCAAAGAUUUGUCUUUUGGCCGAAAGUUCGGGAAUGAAGCGGACUUUAAAAACGUUUGGGGCUCUGCCAAGCACGAUCUUGGCUCUCCAAUUAUUUUGAUGCCGCUUAGAAAUUAUAGGAUAUUGGAUGAUUGGUUCUCUCAUGAGUUUUCUGCCCAUUAUUCAACUUUAAUAUUAACAACCAACUGAUAUCGAUGAAAAACCGCAAAUCUUUGAAAGAACAAAUACUACCUUAUGAAUUAUUACAAAACCAAUAUGAGAAACACGGACUUAAAAUAGACUCACCCACACAUCUGUAGAAACAAUGGCUUGGAAUAGCGUCGAGGGACUUUUGAAAAAUCCCUUAUCAAUUCAACACUUCUGGAUACACCAUCGGAAUGUGGCCGCCACUUGCAGCCGGCAAUUGCCAACAAUUGCCAGUUGCGAGACAUCAUAUGGAAAACUUCCAUGCCCCGAAGGGAUGAUGACAAAUAAGGAUGAGUUUACUAGCAUAUUACUCUCUUUCUCGCUUUCCUUCCGCUGAUUUAAGAUCCAUCUAGUGGAAUCACUUGCAACGCCAAGAGGGCAAGAAAAUAAAUAAGAGGUUGCAUCUUGCUUCGCAGUGCAAUGAGUACAUACCCUUAAUUGGUCUCUCAAAGGGAAACGGCGCUGCGGAUGACUAUAGAAGAUUUAUGCAGCUGAAAUGCGAAUGGAUCGGACUAUAUUGGUGUUUAUAAUUGCAGUCCCGAAACCGGAUUUCAUUAUUUUGGACAAUAUUAAAGUUAAGUCAUCAUUAGAAAAUGCAAUCAACACUCCCCAGAAGAUAUUAGAACCUUAUCUCUGUAUGUAGGGGAUCUAUCUUUUAUAGUAGUUGAUACCAAAUAUUCUUAUUCAGCCUCCUCGCAC
This 999-nucleotide small RNA is filed under the name Drosophila pseudoobscura pseudoobscura. RNAcentral's name for it is "GA31513". The record is from RNAcentral. Lineage: Eukaryota; Metazoa; Arthropoda; Insecta; Diptera; Drosophilidae.